RNAcentral lists this ribosomal RNA (1369 nucleotides) under uncultured bacterium. Its description in RNAcentral is "bacterial SSU rRNA". It matches the Rfam family "Bacterial small subunit ribosomal RNA", at positions 28 to 1381 of the family's 1533-position model. The record is from RNAcentral.
GACGAACGCUGGCGGCGUGCCUAAUACAUGCAAGUAGAACGCUGAAGAGAGGAGCUUGCUCUUCUUGGAUGAGUUGCGAACGGGUGAGUAACGCGUAGGUAACCUGCCUUGUAGCGGGGGAUAACUAUUGGAAACGAUAGCUAAUACCGCAUAACAAUGGAUGACCCAUGUCAUUUAUUUGAAAGGGGCAAAUGCUCCACUACAAGAUGGACCUGCGUUGUAUUAGCUAGUAGGUGAGGUAACGGCUCACCUAGGCGACGAUACAUAGCCGACCUGAGAGGGUGAUCGGCCACACUGGGACUGAGACACGGCCCAGACUCCUACGGGAGGCAGCAGUAGGGAAUCUUCGGCAAUGGGGGCAACCCUGACCGAGCAACGCCGCGUGAGUGAAGAAGGUUUUCGGAUCGUAAAGCUCUGUUGUAAGUCAAGAACGAGUGUGAGAGUGGAAAGUUCACACUGUGACGGUAGCUUACCAGAAAGGGACGGCUAACUACGUGCCAGCAGCCGCGGUAAUACGUAGGUCCCGAGCGUUGUCCGGAUUUAUUGGGCGUAAAGCGAGCGCAGGCGGUUUGAUAAGUCUGAAGUUAAAGGCUGUGGCUCAACCAUAGUUCGCUUUGGAAACUGUCAAACUUGAGUGCAGAAGGGGAGAGUGGAAUUCCAUGUGUAGCGGUGAAAUGCGUAGAUAUAUGGAGGAACACCGGUGGCGAAAGCGGCUCUCUGGUCUGUAACUGACGCUGAGGCUCGAAAGCGUGGGGAGCGAACAGGAUUAGAUACCCUGGUAGUCCACGCCGUAAACGAUGAGUGCUAGGUGUUGGAUCCUUUCCGGGAUUCAGUGCCGCAGCUAACGCAUUAAGCACUCCGCCUGGGGAGUACGACCGCAAGGUUGAAACUCAAAGGAAUUGACGGGGGCCCGCACAAGCGGUGGAGCAUGUGGUUUAAUUCGAAGCAACGCGAAGAACCUUACCAGGUCUUGACAUCCCGAUGCUAUUUCUAGAGAUAGAAAGUUACUUCGGUACAUCGGUGACAGGUGGUGCAUGGUUGUCGUCAGCUCGUGUCGUGAGAUGUUGGGUUAAGGCCCGCAACGAGCGCAACCCCUAUUGUUAGUUGCCAUCAUUCAGUUGGGCACUCUAGCGAGACUGCCGGUAAUAAACCGGAGGAAGGUGGGGAUGACGUCAAAUCAUCAUGCCCCUUAUGACCUGGGCUACACACGUGCUACAAUGGUUGGUACAACGAGUUGCGAGUCGGUGACGGCAAGCUAAUCUCUUAAAGCCAAUCUCAGUUCGGAUUGUAGGCUGCAACUCGCCUACAUGAAGUCGGAAUCGCUAGUAAUCGCGGAUCAGCACGCCGCGGUGAAUACGUUCCCGGGCCU